CUCCCUGCCGGCCGAGCGGCGCGGGGGAGGAGGCCGGCGGGCGGGUGCAGGGAAGGGGCCUCAGCCCCGGCGCCCGGCGUGGGGAGGAGGGGACCGAGUCGGAGCCGGGGCUUGGCCGCGUACACGACCCCCCCCAUCUCGACCCCCACCCCCGCCCCCGUCCGGUUCCGCGGGCAGGGGGCCCUGGCGGCGAGGCAGCGAUUGUUGGGACCUGGCAUUCACUCAUGCGGGUGAGUGCCCAUAUCGCUGUGCGAAGUUGGACGUACAAAAAGUGAGCCCCCCGGUGAUCUUGAACGAUUGGAGGAAACUAAAGCCCUCCACCGAGGUAAGGGGUGUUUACCCAAUGAUGUGUCUCAGUAUCCUGAGAAUGUUGCCUCUGGUGUUCUGGUUCAGGCAAAGAGUGGGGUGCUAAAACUUAAUCCCCACUUUCCUUUUGGAAUUGUGCAUGUUUCUCCUCAGGUUGUCACUGGUGCAUCAUCUUCAGCUGGGAAUCCGGCCUCCCACACGCACUGCUAAGAGAAUGUGGCAAAUACAAACUUUAGAAAAACGUUGAGCCCUGAUAACCUAAGAGCUUACCAUCUUGUGUAAAUUUCGUGUACCUUAUAAAUAGGUCGGUGAAGAGAUGAAGAGCAAAACAAGCAAGGGCAAACAUCUUUAAAAUGUUCAUAUGCCUGGGGCACCUGGGUGGCUCAGUCAGUUGAGAGACCAACUUCAGCUUGGGUCAUGAUCUCAAGGUUCAUGAGUUCAAGCCCCACACGGGCUUGCUGUCAGCCUGUCUGCCCAGAGCCCCUCUUCGGAUCCUCUGUCUCCCUCUCGCUGCUCUUCCCCUGCAUGUGCUCCCCAAAAUAAAUAAAUAUUAAAAUGUUCAUAUUCCCCAACCCAGAAAAGUUACUUGAAGUCACACAUCUAUGGAUACAAAAAGAUGCAUGUAGGGAAAGCCAUCAUUGUGGGAAAACUAGGAACAGAUUAAAGUUUUAACAGAUUUUUAAGUAAAUGAUAGUAUUUUUAUACAGUGAGUACUACAUAGUCAUUAAAAAUGAUGUGUUACAAUAUUUAGUAGCAUAGAAAAGUAAUUUCACUAUACCUUGUUAAGAAAGAAAAACAC
Molecule: long non-coding RNA, 1105 nt
Filed under: Suricata suricatta (meerkat)
Lineage: Eukaryota; Metazoa; Chordata; Mammalia; Carnivora; Herpestidae
Description: lncRNA (ENSSSUG00005005636.1)
Source: RNAcentral